Molecule: transfer RNA, 73 nt
Filed under: Felis catus (domestic cat)
Lineage: Eukaryota; Metazoa; Chordata; Mammalia; Carnivora; Felidae
Also listed under: 3 other names
Rfam family: tRNA
About the family: Transfer RNA (tRNA) molecules are approximately 80 nucleotides in length. Their secondary structure includes four short double-helical elements and three loops (D, anti-codon, and T loops). Further hydrogen bonds mediate the characteristic L-shaped molecular structure. tRNAs have two regions of fundamental functional importance: the anti-codon, which is responsible for specific mRNA codon recognition, and the 3' end, to which the tRNAs corresponding amino acid is attached (by aminoacyl-tRNA synthetases). tRNAs cope with the degeneracy of the genetic code in two manners: having more than one tRNA (with a specific anti-codon) for a particular amino acid; and 'wobble' base-pairing, i.e. permitting non-standard base-pairing at the 3rd anti-codon position.
Source: Rfam by way of RNAcentral
GGGUGCCUGGCUCAGUUGGUAGAGCAUGUGACUCCUCAUCUCAGGGUCAUGAGUUCAAGCCUUAUGUUGCUUA